RNAcentral lists this ribosomal RNA (724 nucleotides) under Acinetobacter baumannii. RNAcentral's name for it is "bacterial SSU rRNA". It matches the Rfam family "Bacterial small subunit ribosomal RNA", at positions 392 to 1104 of the family's 1533-position model. The record is from RNAcentral. Lineage: Bacteria; Pseudomonadati; Pseudomonadota; Gammaproteobacteria; Moraxellales; Moraxellaceae.
CCAUGCCGCGUGUUGUGAAGAAGGCCUUAUGGUUGUAAAGCACUUUAAGCGAGGAGGAGGCUACUUUAGUUAAUACCUAGAGAUAGUGGACGUUACUCGCAGAAUAAGCACCGGCUAACUCUGUGCCAGCAGCCGCGGUAAUACAGAGGGUGCGAGCGUUAAUCGGAUUUACUGGGCGUAAAGCGUGCGUAGGCGGCUUAUUAAGUCGGAUGUGAAAUCCCCGAGCUUAACUUGGGAAUUGCAUUCGAUACUGGUGAGCUAGAGUAUGGGAGAGGAUGGUAGAAUUCCAGGUGUAGCGGUGAAAUGCGUAGAGAUCUGGAGGAAUACCGAUGGCGAAGGCAGCCAUCUGGCCUAAUACUGACGCUGAGGUACGAAAGCAUGGGGAGCAAACAGGAUUAGAUACCCUGGUAGUCCAUGCCGUAAACGAUGUCUACUAGCCGUUGGGGCCUUUGAGGCUUUAGUGGCGCAGCUAACGCGAUAAGUAGACCGCCUGGGGAGUACGGUCGCAAGACUAAAACUCAAAUGAAUUGACGGGGGCCCGCACAAGCGGUGGAGCAUGUGGUUUAAUUCGAUGCAACGCGAAGAACCUUACCUGGGCCUUGACAUACUAGAAACUUUCCAGAGAUGGAUUGGUGCCUUCGGGAAUCUAGAUACAGGUGCUGCAUGGCUGUCGUCAGCUCGUGUCGUGAGAAUGUUGGGUUAAGUCCCGCAACGAGCGCAACCC